Stegostoma tigrinum is the source of this 432-nucleotide long non-coding RNA. RefSeq lists it as uncharacterized. The record is from RefSeq and is a predicted model, not a curated record. The transcript has 3 exons. Lineage: Eukaryota; Metazoa; Chordata; Chondrichthyes; Orectolobiformes; Stegostomatidae.
CCCUGGCACUGGCCUGAAAGGGAUUUGUCUGGAGUGACUGUCAGAUGCUGGAAAUCUGAAAAAAAUACACUACAAUUAUAAUACUCACACUGGCUCAAGGAAUGUUCCUCAUUAUGGAUACAGCUGAGAAUAUAAACAUACGUUAUAUACCAAUAACGAGACAUCCUCUUACCAUUCUCCUCUUGAGCACAGCUGAACACAUUCUGGAGUUGCACUAAAGAAGCUAUUCUUCACGUGUGAACUUAGAUCAGUCGUCACAUCCAAACUCAAGACAGGUUGUCUUCCUGUGGCCAACUGGAAAACAUCACAUUUACUGUCAUAAAAGAGAUAACAAGGUAUACAGCUGGAUGAACACAGCAGGCCAAGCUGCAUCAGAGGAGCAGGAAGGCUGAUGUUUUGGACUGAUUGACGGAUUAGUACCAUUCAAUCAAG